AGCGAACGCUGGCGGCAGGCCUAACACAUGCAAGUCGAACGAACCUUUCGGGGUUAGUGGCGGACGGGUGAGUAGCACGUGGGAACGUGCCUUUAGGUUCGGAAUAACUCAGGGAAACUUGUGCUAAUACCGAAUGUGCCCUUCGGGGGAAAGAUUAAUCGCCUUUAGAGCGGCCCGCGUCUGAUUAGCUAGUUGGUUGAGGUAAUGGCUCACCAAGGCGACGAUCAGUAGCUGGUCUGAGAGGAUGAUCAGCCACAUUGGGACUGAGACACGGCCCAAACUCCUACGGGAGGCAGCAGUGGGGAAUCUUGCGCAAUGGGCGAAAGCCUGACGCAGCCAGGCCGCGUGAAUGAUGAAGGUCUUAGGAUUGUAAAAUUCUUUCACCGGGGACGAUAAUGACGGUACCCGGAGAAGAAGCCCCGGCUAACUUCGU
Molecule: ribosomal RNA, 433 nt
Filed under: uncultured bacterium
Lineage: Bacteria
Description: partial 16S ribosomal RNA
Rfam family: Bacterial small subunit ribosomal RNA
Source: RNAcentral